AAUAAUAAAUAAUAAUAAUAAUAAACAACCUAUUGCACGUUAGGCUGCCACGGGCACUUUCAGUGAUUCGUGGUAUUUUUUUGACAGGUUUUGUCAUCAUACUGUAUUAUAUCCUUAUUGAUGCAUUGCUACAAAACACCAAACCAAUGGUUGUAAAACAAAGUUACUUUGCUCACUCUAAUCAGAUAACGUAUUUCGAUUCUGUCUUUAGUUAUUGUAUGGAGUCUUCAUACAUUUUACUAUUUUAAAUUACAUAUUAAUAACCAAUACAUGGUCCCCAAACGUUACGACCACUCUCUUGGCGUGGAUUUGCAGUGUUUUGUGAAAUAUAUUUUUUAUUUUAUUUUUUCAGAUCAUCUGAAGAAUUUGCAAAAAACCUCUCAAAUAAACAAACGGAUUCAAAUGGUUAAUGAACCAAGGGAGUUUCUGAUAAUCUGACUAAAAUGCUGUUACCUGGAUAUUGCCAAACUGAUUUCUAAUCGGGGGCCACAGAAGGCGUAACAAUGAAGGUAGACAGAAGCAAGUUAAAAAAGACUCCUACCGAAGCUGUGAGUAUUUCUUUGGUUUAUACUGCUGUCAAAGAUGGUGAUAGUAGCCAUGUUCAACCAUAUUUGUAUAAAAUUGUGCACAUAGUGUUAAACCAGUGAAGUGGCAAUUUUAUGAAGAAAAGUUUAAACAUUUUUGAAACUCUUUCUGUUCAAAGUAUCAACAAAAAGGUAUCCCCCAAAAAAGUCAAACAAAAACAACCUGAAAUGCUGAAUGUAACGUAGUCUUGCAAAAUGGGUAGUGUAACUUGAAAUACACUUUAAUAAAUUAUAAUUUGCAUUUGAAUCUUUCGGCCUUGUAGUCUCAUGUUGCAAUGCAACUUUGUGUAAUAGUAAAUUAAUAGAGUUGUCCUAAUUUGUAAGAGAAAGAUUGAUAUUUUAAUUCAUACCCUACACAGCCGGCUGACUGCAGGAUACUUAUUGAAAAGCUUAAGGCAUGCAGUGAUGAGCAGCUCCUGGUUGAACUGCAGCACAUCAAGACCUGGAAUAUUGGCAAAGUGAGUAUCAUAGUCAUUUUCUGAAGGUUCUGUUUAUAAUGUCUUAUUUGUCUUUAUUUAAAACUUUGUCCUGUUCUGCAUUAGUGUGAACUGUACCACUGGGUGGACCUCCUGGACCGCUUUGAUGGCAUUCUCUGUGAUGCAGGCCAGACAGUGGAGAAUAUGUCAUGGCUGCUGGUGUGUGAUCGUCCAGACAAUGGGCAGCUCAAGGCUCUUCUGUUGGCAGUACUUAACUUCACAGCACUGUUAAUUGAAUAUAGCUUCUCUAGGCACCUUUACAGCUCCAUAGAGGUUGGUUUGAGAUUACUAUAAUAUAGUAAUUUAUUUGGUAAUAUAUUAAUACAAUCUUUCUUUUCUACAGCACUUAACUA
This 1413-nucleotide long non-coding RNA is filed under the name Neogobius melanostomus (round goby). RNAcentral describes it as "lncRNA (ENSNMLG00000001902.1)". Lineage: Eukaryota; Metazoa; Chordata; Actinopteri; Gobiiformes; Gobiidae. The record is from RNAcentral.